This 1353-nucleotide ribosomal RNA is filed under the name metagenome. RNAcentral's name for it is "bacterial LSU rRNA". It matches the Rfam family "Bacterial large subunit ribosomal RNA", at positions 1540 to 2918 of the family's 2925-position model. The record is from RNAcentral.
AGCCUGCUGGAAGUGACGAAGGCCGUAAAUUGUUCCUGCUUAUUGGAUUGCAGGGGCUGUGAAGGACUUCCUGGAAAUAACUCCAGCUUAUAGACCGUACCCCAAACCGACACAGGUGGGCUGGUAGAGUAUACCAAGGCGCUUGAGAGAAUGAUGUUGAAGGAACUCGGCAAAUUGCCCUCGUAACUUCGGAAGAAGAGGGCCCCAUUGAUGGGCAACCAUUGGUGGGGGGCACAGACCAGGGGGUGGCGACUGUUUAACAAAAACACAGGGCUCUGCGAAGUCUGUAAGACGACGUAUAGGGUCUGACGCCUGCCCGGUGCCGGAAGGUUAAGAGGAGGGGUGCAAGCUCUGAAUCGAAGCCCCGGUAAACGGCGGCCGUAACAAUAACGGUCCUAAGGUAGCGAAAUUCCUUGUCGGGUAAGUUCCGACCUGCACGAAUGGCGUAACGACUUCCCCGCUGUCUCCAACAUCAACUCAGCGAAAUUGAAUUCCCCGUGAAGAUGCGGGGUACCCGCGGUCAGACGGAAAGACCCCAUGCACCUUUACUAUAGCUUUGCAGUGGUAUUAGGGAAUGAAUGUGUAGGAUAGGUGGGAGCCUAUGAAGCGCCGGCGCUAGUCGGUGUGGAGGCAACGUUGAAAUACCACCCUUUUGUUCUCUGAUAUCUAACCGCGCCCCUUGAAGCUGGGGCCGGGACCCUGCAUGGUGGGUAGUUUGACUGGGGCGGUCGCCUCCCAAAGAGUAACGGAGGCGCGCGAUGGUAGGCUCAAGCUGGUCGGAAAUCAGCUGUUGAGUGCAAUGGCAUAAGCCUGCCUGACUGCGAGACUGACAAGUCGAGCAGAGACGAAAGUCGGUCAUAGUGAUCCGGUGGUUCCACGUGGGCGGGCCAUCGCUCAACGGAUAAAAGGUACGCUGGGGAUAACAGGCUGAUCUCCCCCAAGAGUCCAUAUCGACGGGGAGGUUUGGCACCUCGAUGUCGGCUCAUCACAUCCUGGGGCUGGGGCAGGUCCCAAGGGUAUGGCUGUUCGCCAUUUAAAGUGGUACGUGAGCUGGGUUCAGAACGUCGUGAGACAGUUCGGUCCCUAUCUGCCGUGGGUGUUGGAGUAUUGAGAGGAUUUGCCCCUAGUACGAGAGGACCGGGGUGAACGCACCUCUGGUGUACCGGUUGUCGCGCCAGCGGCAUCGCCGGGUAGCUAUGUGCGGACGGGAUAACCGCUGAAAGCAUCUAAGCGGGAAACCCACCUCAAAACUAGUACUCCCUAUGAGAGCCGUGAGAGACCAUCACGUUGAUAGGCCUGAUGUGGAAGCGCAGUAAUGCGUGUAGCUAACUGGUACUAAUUGCUCCAUUGGCU